UUGUUUCACCAAACAUGAGGCUGGAACUCACGAUCCUGAGAUCAACAGUCACACGCUUCACCAACUGAGCCAGCCAGGUGCCUCACUGGACAUGUUUCUGUUCACAAACUGGGAAGGGGAACAGCAUCAGAAGGGAGUUUCAGAGGCAGGCAAGCCUUUGAACCUCCCAGAAAGGACAUGAGCCGCUUGGCACUACACGGCAUACGCGAUAAGGAGCUGAGCUGACAGCCAAUGAGAGCUUACCACCCAUAGCAACUACCAGUCUGGAGCAUUUACCACGUGACCGACAGGUGCUGUGCUGAAAACUGCAGAGGCAUGACCUCCAGGAGUGGAAAAAACAACCUCUCACGGACUUCUUCCUACUUCAUUAGAGAGCUGAGGCUCGGAGAGAGGAGAUCACAACCCUGAGCCUUAGAAGGUGACACUUGGGCUGGAAGCACAGAUGACUAGAAUUGCAAGGCAAUAAGCAGAACAUGAAAGGCUGAGAAUGAGACCACGUCCAGAGUUUCUCUGGACGUGGUCCUCUCUGGACACCCUCCUGCCUCCAAGCCUGUGGCAAUCUGACGACAGACGGUUCAGAAAGCCUCUGGGCCCUCUCCGUGUCUUUCCACCUCUGACUCUCUUGGUGGACCCUUUUCACUUGCAUGCGUGGUUGUGUAACUGAUCCUGGCAGGGACUCAUGGUCAAAAUAAAGCCAACCACUUUUCUGCC
Molecule: long non-coding RNA, 711 nt
Organism: Neofelis nebulosa (Clouded leopard)
Lineage: Eukaryota; Metazoa; Chordata; Mammalia; Carnivora; Felidae
Exons: 2
Source: RefSeq, a predicted model, not a curated record